Molecule: long non-coding RNA, 579 nt
Organism: Sarcophilus harrisii (Tasmanian devil)
Lineage: Eukaryota; Metazoa; Chordata; Mammalia; Dasyuromorphia; Dasyuridae
Exons: 3
Source: RefSeq, a predicted model, not a curated record
CUCACUUAAUUCUAAUUCACCUGCAUGUUAUAGCAUCAGCUCCCCGACAGUGCAGUCCUCUUAAGAAUGAAGGACAAACAACAAUAUAAAUGCCUAUUAUCCUAAUCAUUAUUAUUCUUUUUUUUGACUGGACUUGUGAUUUCUAUUGGUGUAAGGAGUUAAGGAAUAAACUUGUACCAAAAACUCAGGUACUAAUGAAUCCACACCUUCUAAGGCUCUGUCAGUUACAUAACUCUGCUCACUGAAGAUUCUGGAAUCCAAGAUUUGAACUUAAGACAAAUAGAAAAUGAUCCUUGCCUACCACACCACUUUGGGGACAUGCCUUCUUAUUAGAAAAAUGGUUCAAGAGGACUAAGUAUAAGAAGGGACCUGAAGGAUCAUCUCAGAGGGACAUCCCCAGAAGUACCCAGUCCAAAUGUUUUUCUGGUUCUGAAAAAUGAAGGUAUGGCCACUUAAAUAAGGAGGUUAGGAUUAAGUACGUGGCUCACUCACUGCAACAAAGAGGCAAAUUAGAAUAUACUGUGAUCCUCUAAAACUCUAGAUGAAUAUUACUGUUCUGUAAGAAACGACCAGCAGGAU